Molecule: ribosomal RNA, 471 nt
Filed under: uncultured Latescibacterota bacterium
Lineage: Bacteria; Pseudomonadati; Candidatus Latescibacterota
Description: bacterial SSU rRNA
Rfam family: Bacterial small subunit ribosomal RNA
Source: RNAcentral
UUGACGGGGACCCGCACAAGCGGUGAGUAUGUUGUUUAAUUCGACGCUACGCGAAGAACCUUACCGGGUUUGACAUGCAGGUGAUCGCCGUUGAAAGACGGUUUCCUCUUCGGAGGCACCUGCACAGGUGCUGCAUGGCUGUCGUCAGCUCGUGUCGUGAGAUGUUGGGUUAAGUCCCGCAACGAGCGCAACCCUUAUCCCCAGUUGCCAUCAGGUAAAGCUGGGAACUCUGGGGAGACUGCCGGUGAUAAACCGAGGAAGGCGGGGAUGACGUCAAGUCCUCAUGGCCCUUACAUCCCGGGCUACACACGUGCUACAAUGGCAGGUACAGAGGGCUGCGAAGCCGCGAGGUGGAGCGAAUCCCAGAAGACCUGUCUCAGUCCGGAUUGAAGUCUGCAACUCGACUUCAUGAAGGCGGAAUCGCUAGUAACCGCGAAUCAGCAGGUCGCGGUGAAUACGUUCCCGGGCCUU